GAUGAACGCUGGCGGCGUGCCUAAUACAUGCAAGUCGAGCGAACAGACGAGGAGCUUGCUCCUCUGACGUUAGCGGCUGACGGGUGAGUAACACGUGGAUAACCUACCUAUAAGACUGGGAUAACUUCGGGAAACCGGAGCUAAUACCGGAUAAUAUAUUGAACCGCAUGGUUCAAUAGUGCAUGACGGUUUUGCUGUCACUUAUAGAUGGAUCCGCGCCGCAUUAGCUAGUUGGUAAGGUAACGGCUUACCAAGGCAACGAUGCGUAGCCGACCUGAGAGGGUGAUCGGCCACACUGGAACUGAGACACGGAACAGACACCGACGGGAGGCAGCAGUAGGGAAUAUUCCGCAAUGGGCGAAAGCCUGACGGAGCAAAGCCGCGUGAGUGAUGAAGGUCUUAGGAUCGUAAAACUCUGUUAUUAGGGAAGAAAAAAUGUGUAAGUAACUAUGCACGUAUUGACGGUAACGAAUAAGAAAGCAACGGCUAACUACGUG
RNAcentral lists this ribosomal RNA (497 nucleotides) under uncultured bacterium. RNAcentral describes it as "partial 16S ribosomal RNA". It matches the Rfam family "Bacterial small subunit ribosomal RNA", at positions 28 to 507 of the family's 1533-position model. The record is from RNAcentral.